AAGUCGUAACAAGGUUUCCGUAGGUGAACCUGCGGAAGGAUCAUUAACACUUUUAAAUCUUUCGAAAAAAGAGAUUUAUCUCUCUUUUUUUCAUUCUAUCCAACUUAUUGAAGUGCUGGUGAGAAGCUUCUGCUUCUCCACUUUUUUUUUCAAAACCCCAUUCACAAAACACUUACAAAUUUGACUAACCAAAAAAUUUAAAAAAAAAAAUAAGCCAAACAACUCUUAGCAACGGAUAUCUUGGCUCUC
Molecule: unclassified non-coding RNA, 249 nt
Filed under: fungal sp.
Lineage: Eukaryota; Fungi
Description: partial internal transcribed spacer region
Rfam family: Eukaryotic small subunit ribosomal RNA (bases 1-46)
Source: RNAcentral